CGGUGUUGUGUUCUUCGCCUGCUAUUGUUUUCUUUUUCUUUUCAUUUUCAGUACAUUUUCAAUUUUUUUUUAUUUAUAUUGAAUUUUUAUAUCGUGUAUGUGGAAGAUAAAUGACAAGAAUGUUAUUGGUUUGUUCGGAUUCAAGCCUUUUUUCUUUGGCGUAGUGUGAGUUGGAGCAGCCGUUGGCAAAUGUGAAAAACCCCUAUUUUGCAUAGACCAUGUAAAGCAACAAAGCAAUGCUCUUAUGGUAUUGACAGCAGACUGCUGCAUUUAUGAAAAUUGCAAGCAUAAUGUUGAAAGAAAGAGGCUUCAAUGUGACCCUUCUCCUUACGCAGCAAUCCAAAAUCGAUAACAGGAUUCCCAUACAGGGAACUUAAGCACCAAUGCCGAUAUAACAAUUGGAGAAAAAUGUAUAGCAUUUGCUUUUAUUUUCAGAUUUCAGUGGUAUUAGAGAAAGAUAGAAGUAGAGGAAAAAUCUAAUUAACCAUUCUUCUGUAUUAGUCUGAUUUGCCAGAUUUUCCUGAGCUGGUGAAGGAGCCAAUAGAUUCGUUUCUCUUCUGCUCCAGGGGAUGGGUAUCUUUGAGUUUGUUCCAUGGCUGCUCUACACCAGUACCACAAAUGACAUAAAACAAAUUUUUCAAAGUGUAGAUGCUUGCUGAGAGGAAUAAAACAGUUUGCCAUUGAACAAUGGAGCCCUUGUUUGAUGAAGAAAAUUCCCGCAGCUACCACAUACGAUACCUGGUGAUAUUUAGUUUUGAUCUUCAACUUACCGUAUUGCACUAAAAAAAGGGCAGCAACGCCACUUGCCCGUAAACAUCUGAACACAGGACGGUGGGGCUGUUUUUCCAAGGUUUGCAUUCGGUAUUCCGUGUUCUUCGUGAUGUUGUUUCUCAUCAAAUUGCAUACAUAUGUGCCUUCUCUCCCUUUUUAUUUUAAUAUUAGCCUUAGCCAUUAAGAUAUAGUCGGGUGCAAGAACGUGACAAAAUUUUUUGCCUUCUCUCCCCCCACCUUAUACAUGUUGGUAUCAGAUCAAACUAUUGUUAACCAAUCACUAGUUAAUUAACGGUUUCACCUAAGGUUUGUAUAAUUAAGCACAGUUUUUUUCCUACUUACUUUUGUCUUCACCAUUCAUUGCUUGAGUUUCGUUCAUUAGCUUCGUACUGAUGAGUCCGAAUGUAAUUUUAUGGCUGACAGUUUUGAAAGGAUAGCGAAGAGAGGUAUCUUAUGUUUCUCUUUCAUUCCGAAGUGCUUUGGUAAUAGAGAACAUACACUAACCUACCUGGUUUUUCAUUGAUGGUUUUAAUUAAUUUUACGCUUUUUUCAAUUUCCUGUUUUUAUCCGCAGAAACGGAUGAAUUUUAAACUUGUGUAUAGUAGAAACUACGACAAAAGAGUGCUGCAGUUCACGGUGGAUUCUGAUAUCAACGUAUGGCGCUUGUGAACAAUAAUUAGCUGAAGCAACGCCUCUUUCUGUUCACUACUAAGAUCAGCUUUGUAUCACUAACAAAACGUCAACAGCGGCUGAUGCCACAAAACGGGCAUUUCCCUGAUUCGAGUUGAAAUCUGUAAAAAAAAAAACAUUUCAAAACGUUAACUAAAGAGUUUUAUCGAAUUUGCAUUCGACCAUAAAAUACCCACUUGAUGAAAUAGCGAACAGCUGCAUCAACUACACGAUACGGCAAAGCGUACUUUUUGUCGAAAAAGAUCCGCAGAAAAAUUGAAUUCGAUCCACCGUAGUUCAUUUCAGCUAGCUUUAAUAUAGCUCAGCAGAGUGUAAGACAGGAAGGAGCAUCCCGAAAUUACGGAGCCCACAAUGAUAGUUUCUCCUAAGGUGCAGGUGCCACUAUGGGGUAAGUUAUUAGAAAGGUAAAGACAAAAUAAUUGUUUGAAAUUUUUCUUGUAUAACCUCGAAAAUUGGAAGAAGAAAUCCCUAGAAAAACGCCCCAGGUUUAAAAAGAGCUUUCCGCAGAGCUUGAUAAAGAUGGAAAUUUAGUUUCUUGUGCUCGACGAUAUCGUCGCGAACACGAGGAAAAAGGACCAAAUCAAAACACCGUUGAUCCACUUUCUCCCUUGAAUUUGAUGUGAAUAUCCGUGUAGCACGUUCGUAUGCUAUGUAUUAGAUGAUUUAUGAAAUACGCUGUGAAUUACAAGACAAACUUGGAGAGUGUA
Daphnia carinata is the source of this 2168-nucleotide long non-coding RNA. RefSeq lists it as uncharacterized. Lineage: Eukaryota; Metazoa; Arthropoda; Branchiopoda; Diplostraca; Daphniidae. The record is from RefSeq and is a predicted model, not a curated record. The transcript has 5 exons.